This 24-nucleotide non-coding RNA is filed under the name Arabidopsis thaliana (thale cress). The record is from RNAcentral. Lineage: Eukaryota; Viridiplantae; Streptophyta; Magnoliopsida; Brassicales; Brassicaceae.
UAGAAUCUUCAGACCAUCGUACUC